AUGGUUCACUGCAAAAGUGCCAUCAGUGUUGAGAAGUAAUCAUUUUGUCUGUUUGUUCACAGAUAUAAUUCUCAUCCGGUGGAGAGUGAUACAACUUAUUUACUCUUAGAAUAGAUAAGUGGGACUUGGAUGUCGCACAUAAAGACAAGCAAAAUAGCAAGUACAGCCCAGAUCUAAAGGUAAGCUUAAUUCUUCAACAAGUUGAGCGCGACACUCCCUGGUCGAGAGUUCAGAGAGGUAUCAACGAAUCAACAGAAGUAGACUCAAGUCUUGACUCCUCCAGUUCAGAGGAGUCAGAAGAGAGCGAAGAAAGUUGGGAAUCUGGUGAGUAGCUUAAAUUUCAGUCAUCACUCUCCAUCUAAUUAAUACAUGAUUCGUUUUAUUAUUUGUGACCGUUUACGAAAAGAGACCCUAGUCCACAGACGCAAAAUUUUCAAAAGUGAUUUGUGUCUAAUUAGGUGAUAAAUAAGAGAAAACAAAGGUUGACCAAGGCCCCAAUUAAAACUUGUCAAAAAAGGAUUAACUGAUGAAACGAGUCAAAGGAAGAGGUCAAACAUGAAGUGGAAACUUUGAAAGGUCAUGUAUUUGUUGAUACAAAACGGAGAAGUUUAAAAGUGGCUUAUUAAGAUAUUCUCAUCUUUCGUGUGAGAAACACCCUUGAAAUUUAUGUGAUGAAACUAACAUGAAAAUUCGCAGUUUUUGAUCAAAAUUUCAUUUCGGACCUCUCCCAGUGGUUUGUUUCACUGUGGGUUGUAUCAAAAAUCAACUUCCCAAGUCAAGUACGAAAUUAGUUUUUGAGAUUUCUACAAUAGACACUCUUUAAUGCCUUGCAAAAUAAGCUUUGAGCAGUUAUGUCCAUUUUUUCUGUGGACUGCCUAUUUAAUACCUUGAAUACGGCAAACUAGACUUUUUGACUCUUUAUCUUUGAUUUUAGACUCUCUCAAAACUAUAUUUUGAACUGCGAGCUACUAACAGCCGUAACUGGUAUUCUUGGCAAUCUGGAAUCAAUUGUUCCACUUAGAGUUUUUGUGGACUAUGGUCCCUUUUUUUGUGAACUGACUCAUUUAUAAUUUAAAUAAUGGGGCAAGUAUUUGUGAAAAUUUCAAUUGGUGGAAAGAUGAUAAAAUCUCUUAACUUGAUUUGACUCUCUAGUUUCCAAACGGUCCUAAUUGUGGGAAAUCAAGUCUUGUCACUCUUCUUGAAUGUGCUGUCUUUUUAUUCUUUGAUUCUUAGUCUCUGUUUCCCACGCUUCUCUUAAGUAAAUCUGCUGUUGGCAUGUUGGUAAGGUCUGAAAACAAUCAUCGUCUGUACAUGAGUUCCUCCCAAAAUUUCACACAAAAAAUAGUGGAUUAAGAAGUUUGAAGAUCAGCUCAAAUUAGAUAUUCACAUACACAACCGGUCUAUAGAAAAUUUCAGCAAGAGCAAAAAUUAGAGUCAUGCCAUGAACAAAUGACUUAAAAUCACAAUAAGUGCAGUGGUAAAGUUUAGAGUCCCUUUAUACCCAGAGUUAGGACAACUUGACUAUCAGCUGACUGGCAGCCGGCCUUGGCUGGCCGUGGAGGCACAAACGAGUGCACCCAAACGAACGAUAUUGAGGGAUAACGAUAAGGAAUCCUGCGAUGUCUGUCAUCCAAAAACAACAACAUCAACAAAAUUGAUCAACUAAAAAGAAAAUGAGAUUGGUUUGUGAAUAAUUUCUUAAUCUAUUUUCAUUUUGGACCGAUGGAAAUAAUAAUUUACUCUUGAUAAACCACAAUUAGGUAAUAUUUUCAUUAUUAUUGUUCACAUUCGAGUCACCGCCAUCUUGGUGCACUCGUUUGUGACUCCAUGAGCGAGAACCAAUCAUAAUUGGAUUUUUUUAGGCCUCUUUCAGCCCAACCAAAAGUGAGUUGUCGUAACUCUGGGUAUUAAG
RNAcentral lists this long non-coding RNA (1912 nucleotides) under Bemisia tabaci. RNAcentral's name for it is "lncRNA ENSSSA2NGG009440". Lineage: Eukaryota; Metazoa; Arthropoda; Insecta; Hemiptera; Aleyrodidae. The record is from RNAcentral.